UUCAUUAUUUCAGUCCUUCUAUUCCUGGCUUGUGUAUUCCUGGCUGUACUGGUUCAGCACAGCCUGUUUCACACAUUUUAGCUUUAUGUGUAACAGAGCAGUAUAUGUACGAGUUCCUGGCAGAAGGUCCUGAUGUGAAACAAAAGUGAGAAAUGCCCAGAGCUGUCAGGGUGUGAAAGCUUGCAGAUUCAUUGCUGGGAUUCCUGACUCAACUCCAAAGGCUAUGAGAAAUAAUAGGGAUUAAGAGGCCUAUUUCUGAUAAAGUUCCCUGGUCAAACAA
Pseudopipra pipra is the source of this 280-nucleotide long non-coding RNA. RefSeq lists it as uncharacterized. The record is from RefSeq and is a predicted model, not a curated record. The transcript is spliced from 2 exons. NCBI's taxonomy places the organism in Eukaryota, Metazoa, Chordata, Aves, Passeriformes, Pipridae.